Molecule: ribosomal RNA, 492 nt
Filed under: uncultured bacterium
Lineage: Bacteria
Description: partial 16S ribosomal RNA
Rfam family: Bacterial small subunit ribosomal RNA
Source: RNAcentral
AGUGAACGCUGGCGGUAGGCCUAACACAUGCAAGUCGAACGGCAGCACAGUAAGAGCUUGCUCUUACGGGUGGCGAGUGGCGGACGGGUGAGGAAUACAUCGGAAUCUACUUUUUCGUGGGGGAUAACGUAGGGAAACUUACGCUAAUACCGCAUACGACCUACGGGUGAAAGCAGGGGAUCUUCGGACCUUGCGCGAUUGAAUGAGCCGAUGUCGGAUUAGCUAGUUGGCGGGGUAAAGGCCCACCAAGGCGACGAUCCGUAGCUGGUCUGAGAGGAUGAUCAGCCACACUGGAACUGAGACACGGUCCAGACUCCUACGGGAGGCAGCAGUGGGGAAUAUUGGACAAUGGGCGCAAGCCUGAUCCAGCCAUACCGCGUGGGCGAAGAAGGCCUUCGGGUUGUAAAGCCCUUUUGUUGGGAAAGAAAAGCAGCAGGUUAAUACCCCGCUGUUCUGACGGUAACCAAAGAAUAAGCACCGGCUAACUUCGUG